GAUGAACGCUGGCGGCGUGCCUAAUACAUGCAAGUCGAGCGAACAGACGAGGAGCUUGCUCCUCUGACGUUAGCGGCGGACGGGUGAAUAACGCGUGGAUAACCUACCUAUAAUACUGAGAUAACUUCGGGAAACGGGCGAUAAUACCGGAUAAUAUAUUGAACCGCAUGGUUCAAUAGUGAAAGACGGUUUUGCUGUCACUUAUAGCUGAAUCCCCUCCGCAUGGGCUAGUUGGUAAGGAAACGGCCUACCAAGUCGACGAUGCGCAGCCCACCUGAGAGAGUGAUCGCCCACACUGGAAGUGAGACGGCCUCCAUGGGACUACGGGAGGGAGCAGUAGGGUACCUUCCGCAAUGGUCGAAAGCCUUACGGAGUAACGCCGCGCCAGUGACGAAGGCGCUCGGAUCGGAAAACUGUGUUUCUAGGUAAGAACAACUGUCGAUGUAAAUAUGCACGUCUUGACGGUACCUAAUCAGAAAGCCCCGGCUAACUACGUG
This 497-nucleotide ribosomal RNA is filed under the name uncultured bacterium. Its description in RNAcentral is "partial 16S ribosomal RNA". It matches the Rfam family "Bacterial small subunit ribosomal RNA", at positions 28 to 507 of the family's 1533-position model. The record is from RNAcentral.